AGGAAAUUAAUGACAAUCUUGAGUUUUCAACAGGUGUUCACUAUUUACAAUGAUUGUAUAUUCUGGCGCGUGUAAUUGUAUAGUCUAACAUGUGUACAAAGUUGAAGGUGUUAAUUGGAUGUUAUUGUAGCAAUAAAACAGGGGACACCCGCCUUGUUAAUCUCAUUUGAUGUUCCACAUUGUGCGUACUGUUAUUACCUUAGGGUGAAGCCACAUCUAAUGUUG
This 225-nucleotide long non-coding RNA is filed under the name Mytilus galloprovincialis (Mediterranean mussel). The record is from RNAcentral. Lineage: Eukaryota; Metazoa; Mollusca; Bivalvia; Mytilida; Mytilidae.